UUCCAUUAAGGGACAUGAAAUAGAUCCUAAAUUUAUAUUAUAUAGAUAUAGAUUAUACUAUUUGCAUUAACUUAUAAAAAAAUAAUCAAAGACAUGUUACCGUAUUAAGAAAAAAACAUGACAAUAAAUAUUAAUACUAAUAAUAUCAUUCAUAAAUCUCGUGCACGGGGUGACAAUAAAUCCACUGAUCAAUGAAUUAUAUUAGAGGUUAUUUCUUCCCACAUUUUCCGUGAAGGAAACAGCUGCGCAGAUAGGUUCGCUUCUAUGGGUCACUCCAGUGUUGGUGUGGUCUGGCUAGACACUCUUCCUAUUGAUUUAAGGCUUCAUUUCUAUAGGGAUAGCUGUACACUUCCAAAUUACAGAUUCCCAUGAUCUGUUUUUUGGCUGCUUUUUCUUGUUUCUUCUAUUUAUUUUCUAUUUCCUUCUCUUUUUGUUUUUUGAGGGUUUUGGUCUAGUCCCCUCUCCUUUUGUAUUUAUUUUUUUCCCCUUUUUUAAUAAAUUUUUUAGAGCGUGGCGGCAUAGGAUGGGGGUCUCUCGGGAUGCCAACCUAGUUGGGAUGUCGAUGAUGCCUCUUGAUGUCUGUCUACGUUCCUUGCUUAUCAAAAAAAAAAAAUAUAUCAUUCAAUUCUCCUCCAAAAUGUUUUUGUUAUUAUUAUUCCUAUAAUUAUAUGAUUUUCCAUAUUCUUAAAUAAUAUCUUUUCUUUGGCUUAAAUAUCAUUUUGGUCCCUUAAUUUAGUUUAAAGUACAGUUUUGUCCCAUAACAUUAGAAAUGGUCAUUUUGGUUGAUUAACUUAUUUUAAGAUUAUAGUUUGGUCUCUUAACUUUAAUAUCAGUCAAUUUAAUCUCUUAACUUUUGUAAAUUAGUGCAACUUGAUCCCUUUCCGUAUGUAAUUAACGAAGUUUGGUCUUUCAAUAGAUGUAUAUGAUAUUAAAUUUUCAUAAGUUAAAUGACCGAGUUGGUUUUUACGGACCUUAUACUUAAGCAUUAUUCAUUUAAAAUAUGCCAAAAUUGAGGCUUUCAUUUUGAAUAAAAAAUUAAGAUUUUUUUUAAUGAUUGCUAUCUGAAUUCAAAAUUUAAAAUGUUAACAAAACUGAUACUACUAUUAGUACAUAUUAAUAGCAAAAAGAGUGGCGAGUUGUGAAAUUUCCUUUUAAGAUACUUUUUGUAUAAACUAAACCUUGUCAUUUAUUUUCAUUUAUUUUAUUUAAAAUAAAUAUAAUUAAUUUCCAUUUUAAUGAUUAUAAAUUGUAAUAUUCACAUCAAUGUGUUCAUUAACAUCCCAUUAAUUUGGCAUUCCUUAAAAAAAACCAUUAAUUUGUCAUGACUAAUAUCCACUACACACUAAUAUUCGACAAUUGACUCAACAUUAAUCUUGACAGAAAAAACAUUGACAUACAUCUCUGAAUUAAUCCUUCACAUACAUAUGUAAGGAAUAUCAUAGUGGCAUAGUGGAAAAAGAACAAUCCCAGAAAGGAGAUAUUACAUGUUACCCUACUUUUUUUAAUAUAUUAUUUAAAACUAAUAACUUUGAGUUUAUAAAAAAAAUUGGAAUAUGGGUAAUUGGUUGAUGAUACAAUUACCGUGUAGUUAAAAAUAAUCAUGUGCUACAAAACUUCAUUGAAAAAUUAAAACCGUGGGAUUCUUUUUAAGAGCUAAAACCGUGUGAUGAUCCUUUCUUUAAAAGAACCGUCUAAUGAUCUAAUCUUGUCUUUUUACUUGAUGAAGUAAUUGCACAAUUUUAGAAUUCUAGUAAUAGAUAAAAAAAAAGUCUCCAAUCUAAAGAGUAUGUAUGAUUUUGGUUGACCAAUAUGAGAGAAUAAAAAGGUUGUCUUAAAAGGUCACAAAAAUGGAUGUACAAUAUUACUACAUUUUUCAUUAUUACCACUUAAAAAUUAAAAACCACUUCGAGUUUGAUCUCAAUUCAAACAAUCUGUGAAAAUGUGAUGCGUUUCAACGGAUUUGUUUCCCUCUCAGUAUAAAUUGGAAGAAUAAAGUAAAACCAAAUCUAAGCAACAAAUGAAAAUAUAAAAGAAAAAAAUGUUAAAAAGUAAAAUAGCAACAUAAGAAAUCACAAAAAAAAAAAAAAAAAGAAGAAUAUAAAUAUGAAUCAGUAGAUAGAAAAAGUAGUGAGUAUUAACUAUUAAGGUAUUAAAAUGAAAUAGAAGGGAGUAGAAAGUUGCGAUAUUUUAAUGUAGUAACAACAAUCCUUCAUAUACCUUUUAAUUGAUGCAUUUCUUCUUUUCGUUUGAUUGGGUUCCAUGUCCAAAAUAAAAAUUCGGUCGAAAACAAAGAAC
This 2295-nucleotide long non-coding RNA is filed under the name Medicago truncatula (barrel medic). RNAcentral's name for it is "long non-coding RNA (MTRU_LNC004916)". Lineage: Eukaryota; Viridiplantae; Streptophyta; Magnoliopsida; Fabales; Fabaceae. The record is from RNAcentral.